UACGUAGGGUGCAAGCGUUAAUCGGAAUUACUGGGCGUAAAGCGUGCGCAGGCGGUGAUGUAAGACCGAUGUGAAAUCCCCGGGCUUAACCUGGGAACUGCAUUGGUGACUGCAUUGCUAGAGUAUGGCAGAGGGGGGUGGAAUUCCACGUGUAGCAGUGAAAUGCGUAGAGAUGUGGAGGAACACCGAUGGCGAAGGCAGCCCCCUGGGCCAAUACUGACGCUCAUGCACGAAAGCGUGGGGAGCAAACAGG
RNAcentral lists this ribosomal RNA (253 nucleotides) under uncultured bacterium. RNAcentral's name for it is "partial 16S ribosomal RNA". It matches the Rfam family "Bacterial small subunit ribosomal RNA", at positions 524 to 776 of the family's 1533-position model. The record is from RNAcentral.